RNAcentral lists this ribosomal RNA (253 nucleotides) under uncultured bacterium. RNAcentral describes it as "partial 16S ribosomal RNA". It matches the Rfam family "Bacterial small subunit ribosomal RNA", at positions 524 to 776 of the family's 1533-position model. The record is from RNAcentral.
UACGGAGGAUCCGAGCGUUAUCCGGAUUUAUUGGGUUUAAAGGGUGCGUAGGCGGUUUGAUAAGUUAGAGGUGAAAUGUCGGGGCUCAACCCCGAAACUGCCUCUAAUACUGUUGGACUAGAGAAUAGUUGCGGUAGGCGGAAUGUAUGGUGUAGCGGUGAAAUGCAUAGAUAUCACGCAGAAUCCCGAUUGCGGAGGCAGCAUACCGGUGCACAACUGACGCUCAGGCACGAAAGCGUGGGUAUCGAACAGG